CAGAAGCCAAGAUGGACCUCGGUUCCUCUCUGUCCUUGUUCUGCUUUCCCAGGUGGAGCUGAGGUGCUGUCUGAAGCUGGUUGCCCGAGAUGCCAGGGCUGCUGCCUCGUCACUCUGCCCACUCUGGUGGCUGCGCUGCCAGGAGCAGCACGUCGUGUCACUUCUUGACGCGUGCCGCCUCCAGGGGAGAGACACCUCUGACAGCUGGCCAGGGAACGGCCCUGAUGGCAACUGUCAGAACACCCCAUAGCCUGCACUUUCGAGCAGGAGAGAGAAAAUUUCACUGCUGCAAUAAGACAACAGACAAUACGCUUGAAACUAAACUAACCUUAACCAGUUUCUAAAAGAAGAAGACAGCGUGAUCUCAGUGGCACACAAUCCUGAAAAUAUAAUUGAGCGCACUGCAGCUGGGGACGGAGCCAGGAAAUGGAGUGAGAUGGCUGUUCAUCAAUAAAAACAAUAUUGAAAAGGAGGCCUCGUCCUCUGGCUCCAUGACAGUUAGCCUGCCUUUGCUUCUUCAUCCUGCCUUGAGAGAAACAAAGAGAAAAAGAAAAUCCCCAUUUAAAUCAAAGAAAGAGGAGGAAAUUCAUGUUUGAUUCUCACUUCUGGAAAACAAUCCAUAUUUAGGUUCUCAUCUGAUCUUCCAGACUGUUCACUUGAACAUUUGCGCUACCAGAAAAAGUUAUAUGGUGCCAAAGUCAGAGCCAAGGGGUUGCCCAGAAGUCUGGUGUCAUAGGAGAGAGGCCAAAAAGCAAACCAAACCGAGAGGUGAUAUAUAAAAUUCUUAUACAAAAAUAUUUUCCUAUCAUUUUGAAAUUCCUGUAUUAAUAAAUCCUUUGGGUUAAGAUAUUGUUGCUAUUUUAAUAAAAUACAAAAUGAUAGGAUUAUUGCCUGAGAUUACUAUUGGCCAACAACCAUGAAUACUUGAAUGAACUAACCACAUUGUUCCUUUUUCCCCCUAGAAAGACUGAAAGAAGGAAUUGACAUGGGAGGCAGGCAAAGGAGAAAGGGUCUAUAACCUUUCCUUGCAAUCGGGGGUCUUUGGCUGUCGGAAGGUAGGUAGGAGGGAAAGUGCCAGAAAGAAGCAGGGAAAGACAUCGGAACGAUGCUGAUGGAAAUGUUCACAGUCAACUUUAGGAGAGUAGGUCGUCGGGUCAGUUUGACUCCCCUAACUGGGCUAAGAUGGUCUUGUUUCUUGUAGCUGUUGCAAGAAUUGGCACGGUAGGGGGUCUUGGCUUUUUGCAAAAUACCCCUACUCUAAGAAUAGGCCAAAGAAAGAGGCAGAGAGUGAUGUUGCUGGGACAAGUACCAAGACAAAGAGAUUUUCAGAUUUCUGGGGACAAGAAGAAACCAUGUGAAAGGAAUUUUCCCUUCAACACGUAUACACACACACACACACACACACACACUCCUCCGAGUAUGUAUGUAUGCAUGUGGUUAGCAGCGGCUGCAUUAAUUAGCCCAGCAGCAUCAGUUUUAAAUUAAAACAAUUUAAAAUGUAGCAGCAGCAAACAUGGCAAUGGGACACAGUCUUAAAAUGAGCACACGAACAGAAAACGGGGAAUUAGAGGCCGAGCCAUUUCAAAAAGUGAAUCCAGACCAUAUGGAGCUGAGGACUGGAGGAGUCAGGCGAAGCUGCAAGCAUCUGGGAUGCUAAGAGUUUCCUCUUGUGGAGCGGAGGCGUGGAGGGGUGCAGUGGGGAAACAGGAGGAAGGGACGUUUGCCAACCCAUCAACAGGUCUGGUGGCAGGGCCAGAUGGCCUCCUACCAGAGGGCUGGGUUCUCGAGACAGUGGCCUUUGGGCAGAAGGGGAGGAGAACAGCCCCGCGGUUUCCCGAAGACAAUGAGGAAGGAGAAACAGCCCCUGGGGCUGCUGGCUCCUGCGCCUGCCGCCUGCAGAUCAGAUGCCAAGGCUCCCCGGACAGGAAAUGAGUGAGACUCCUGGGAGAAUAGCUCAGAGAUUCAAGAGGAAAUCAUAGGCCCUGGCAACAAUAGGAAGAAGAGAGGGUGGGGCAGAGGAAAGAGUUUGUUUGCUUAAUGUGGACCUCUUAAAGGUCGGUGAUAAACGUUUGCAAAAGUCCUGGGGCUGACUCCACAAACAGAUCUUCAGAGAACCUGAGGGAUAAAGUUUCCUGUGCCUGGCACAGGGGAUCUAG
Cercocebus atys (sooty mangabey) is the source of this 2156-nucleotide long non-coding RNA. RefSeq lists it as uncharacterized. The record is from RefSeq and is a predicted model, not a curated record. The transcript has 3 exons. NCBI's taxonomy places the organism in Eukaryota, Metazoa, Chordata, Mammalia, Primates, Cercopithecidae.